AAAUUUUCUUCAAGUGCCAAGCUUAUUCUUUCCUUCUCUUUUUUCCAUUUUCUUUUGGACUCAUAAUCAUUUUACUCAUUUACUCAAGUUGUAUCUCUUUUAUAAUAAUCUCAUUAUUCACUCAUUGCUGAAACGAUUAGAGAAAGUUUCAAGCUUUUGGUAAAAAAAUCGUUUCUUUCUCAAUAAUUACAUUAGGGUUUUACACUACUCUUUUAUAGACAUUGUAGAAGGAGCUAGAUAUGGAACAGUCUAGAAUAUGGCAGAUGCUGUGUAGCUGGCUAUGGUGAGUCAUCAGGCAAAACGCCCCUCCUCUGUACGAUCGUUGCUCUGUUUUGAGCUGGAGUCUAUUUUGUCUUCUUCUAUUUGACUGGGCUGAGAUGGGCCUUUUGUUGUUGUUGGGCCGGUUACUUGUUUGUUGCUCACACUCCCCCUCAAACUUGGAGUGGGUGAACCAGACACACCAAGUUUGCUCCUGAGAUCAACAAAUGCUCGGCGUGGAAGUGACUUUGUAAACACGUCAGCUAAUUGAAAGGUAGCUGAAAUGUGUUGUGUUUCGAUCAGACCGAGUGCGACCUGCUCCCUGAUGUAGUGAUAAUCGGUAUCAAAAUGUUUUGAACGAUUGUGGAGAGCCGGAUUUGCAGAUAGGUACACUGCGGAGAGGUUAUCACAGUAAACUUGUGUAGGAAGAUAUUGGGGAAUGCCGAGAUCUCGCAGUAAGAAAGAGAUCCAAGUAAUUUCUCGUGCUGCAUAGGUUAGAGCUCUGUAUUCUGCUGCGGUAGAGGAAUUAGACACUGUAGGUUGUCGUUUUGCCGACCAAGAGAUCAAGUUGGAGCCUAACAAGAUGCAGAAUCCAGUAGUAGACCUUCUAGUAUUCUUGCAGCCCGCAUGAUCGCUAUCACUGUAGGCAGAAAGAGUAAGAGUAGAGUUCCUUUUUAUUGGCAAACCCAUUCCAAUUGUCCCUUUGAUGUACCGUAGUAUCCGUUUGAGCAGUCCGAAGUCAGAGGUUGUAGGGGAGUGCAUUCUCUGACAAAUAAAAUUGACAGCAAACUGAAUGUCUGGACGUGUGAUGGUAAGAUACUGCAGUUUUCCCGCAAGGCUUCGAAAAUAGGUUGGUUCUGCAAAUAGCUCAGAAUUGAGGUUGUCCAAUUGUUGUGGUAGAGGAGUUGGCAUGGGGUUGCAAUCACUCAUUCCUGCCUGUUGUAAAAUGUCUGUCGCAUAAGCCGUCUGAUGUAGAAAGAGACCAUUAGCAUAAUCUUCAAUUUGAAUACCCAAGAAAUAGCGAGGUGGACCAAGAUCCUUCAUAGAAAACCGAUUCUUGAGAGCUUGUAGAAGAUCUUCUAAGAGAGAUUGAUCACUGCCAGUCAACAAAAUGUCGUCAACAUAUAACAGUAAAUAGAGUAUUUUUCCAUCUUGAUGACACACAAAUAAUGAGGGGUCCGAUUUACUGCAGACAAAUCCAUAAUCAAGAAGAAAGUUGCUGAAAGUAUCAAACCAUGCCCGUGGCGCUUGUUUCAAACCGUAGAUGGCUUUCGUGAGACGACAGACAUGAGUGGGUUUCUGAGGAUCAAUAAAACCUGAGGGUUGGUACAUGAAGACCGGUUCUUGCAGCUCACCGUGUAAGAAGGCAUUGGAGACAUCAAGCUGCUUAAUAGGCCAACCUUUUGAUGUUGAGACAUCAAGAACAAGACGAAUUGUUGCUGUCCGAACCACAGGACUGAACGUUUCUAGAUAGUCCACCCCUUCCUCUUGAUCGAAGCCCUUAGCCACUAGACGAGCUUUCAGUUUAUCGAUUGAGCCAUCCGGGUGAAGUUUGGUUUUAAAAACCCACUUGGAGCUUAGAAUAUUCAUAUCAUCAGUUGGAGGAACCAACGACCAUGUAUGCAACAUAUGGACCCGGUUAAUCUCCUCAUGUACUGCUUCAUUCCAACCAGGAUGCUUCAUAGCGGAUGCAAGGGUUUUUGGUUCAGCAGUAUUCAUUCGAGAGGUGAUGAGAGCAUACCUCGUGUUUGGCU
This 2012-nucleotide small RNA is filed under the name Arabidopsis thaliana (thale cress). RNAcentral's name for it is "ATSL023200". The record is from RNAcentral. Lineage: Eukaryota; Viridiplantae; Streptophyta; Magnoliopsida; Brassicales; Brassicaceae.